Molecule: ribosomal RNA, 401 nt
Filed under: uncultured bacterium
Lineage: Bacteria
Description: bacterial SSU rRNA
Rfam family: Bacterial small subunit ribosomal RNA
Source: RNAcentral
GAGUUGGGGAAAACCGUUGGAAACGACGGCGUAAUACCGGAUGACGGCGCCCCGUGACAUCACGGGAGCGCUAAAGGGGGCCGCAAGGCUCCCGCUCGAGGAGGGGCUCGCGCACCAUCAGCUUGUUGGCGGGUAACGGCCCACCAAGGCCUACGGUUAGCUGGUCUGAGAGGAUGACCAGCCCCACUGGGACUGAGAUACUGCCCAGACUCCUACGGGAGGCUGCAGUCGAGGAUCAUUUGCAAUGGGCGAAAGCCUGACAAUGCGACGCUGCGUGGGAAGGAUGAAGGCCUUCGGGUUGUAAACUCCUGUCAUGGGGGAACAGGCGAGGGGACCCAACACGUCCCUUAGUUGAGUGUACCCCAAGAGGAAUUGGCGGCUAACUCUGUGCCAGCCGCUGC